Molecule: ribosomal RNA, 368 nt
Filed under: uncultured bacterium
Lineage: Bacteria
Description: bacterial SSU rRNA
Rfam family: Bacterial small subunit ribosomal RNA
Source: RNAcentral
UCAGCCUGAACGCUGGCGGCGUGGCUAAGACAUGCAAGUCGUACGGGGCCGCAAGGCCCAGUGGCGAACGGGUGAGUAAUGAAUCGCUAAUGUGCCCCGGACUCAGGGAUAGCCGCUCGAAAGGGCGGGUAAUACCUGAUGACAUAACCCUGUCGCAUGGCAGGGUUCUCAAAGGUCCGCCGGUCUGGGAGCAGGCGAUUUCGUAUCAGCUAGUUGGUGAGGUAACGGCNCACCAAGGCGACGACGCGUAGCCGGACUGAGAGGUUGGCCGGCCACAUUGGGACUGAGACACUGCCCAGACUCCUACGGGGGGCUGCAGUAACGAAUCUUCCGCAAUGCAACGAAAGUGUGACGGAGCGACGCCGCGU